RNAcentral lists this ribosomal RNA (1174 nucleotides) under uncultured bacterium. RNAcentral's name for it is "bacterial SSU rRNA". It matches the Rfam family "Bacterial small subunit ribosomal RNA", at positions 27 to 1166 of the family's 1533-position model. The record is from RNAcentral.
GGACGAACGCUGGCGGCGUGCCUAAUACAUGCAAGUCGAACGCACUGACGUCGACAGAAGGUGCUUGCACUGGAAGUUGAUUGACGUGAGUGGCAGACGGGUGAGUAACACGUGGGUAACCUGCCCUUAAGCGGGGGAUAACAUUUGGAAACAGAUGCUAAUACCGCAUAAAAGUUGAGAUCACAUGGUCUUAAUUUGAAAGGCGGCCUUUGGCUGUCACUUAAGGAUGGACCCGCGGCGUAUUAGCUAGUUGGUGAGAUAAUAGCCCACCAAGGCGAUGAUACGUAGCCGACCUGAGAGGGUAAUCGGCCACAUUGGGACUGAGACACGGCCCAAACUCCUACGGGAGGCAGCAGUAGGGAAUCUUCCACAAUGGACGAAAGUCUGAUGGAGCAACGCCGCGUGAGUGAAGAAGGUUUUCGGAUCGUAAAACUCUGUUGUUGGAGAAGAACAGGGACUAGAGUAACUGUUAGUCCUUUGACGGUAUCCAACCAGAAAGCCACGGCUAACUACGUGCCAGCAGCCGCGGUAAUACGUAGGUGGCAAGCGUUGUCCGGAUUCAUUGGGCGUAAAGCGAGCGCAGGCGGUUUCUUAAGUCUGAUGUGAAAGCCUUCGGCUUAACCGAAGAAGUGCAUCAGAUACUGGGAAACUUGAGUGCAGAAGAGGAAAGUGGAACUCCAUGUGUAGCGGUGAAAUGCGUAGAUAUAUGGAAGAACACCAGUGGCGAAGGCGGCUUUCUGGUCUGUAACUGACGCUGAGGCUCGAAAGUAUGGGGAGCGAACAGGAUUAGAUACCCUGGUAGUCCAUACCGUAAACGAUGAAUGCUAAGUGUUGGAGGGUUUCCGCCCUUCAGUGCUGCAGCUAACGCAUUAAGCAUUCCGCCUGGGGAGUACGACCGCAAGGUUGAAACUCAAAGGAAUUGACGGGGGCCCGCACAAGCGGUGGAGCAUGUGGUUUAAUUCGAAGCUACGCGAAGAACCUUACCAGGUCUUGACAUCUAGCGCCAAUCCUAGAGAUAGGACGUUCCCUUCGGGGACGCUAAGACAGGUGGUGCAUGGUUGUCGUCAGCUCGUGUCGUGAGAUGUUGGGUUAAGUCCCGCAACGAGCGCAACCCUUAUGAUUAGUUGCCAGCAUUUAGUUGGGCACUCUAAUCAGACUGCCGGUGACAAACCGG